GACGAACGCUGGCGGCGUGCCUAAUACAUGCAAGUUGAGCGCUGAAGGUUGGUACUUGUACCAACUGGAUGAGCAGCGAACGGGUGAGUAACGCGUGGGGAAUCUGCCUUUGAGCGGGGGACAACAUUUGGAAACGAAUGCUAAUACCGCAUAAAAACUUUAAACACAAGUUUUAAGUUUGAAAGAUGCAAUUGCAUCACUCAAAGAUGAUCCCGCGUUGUAUUAGCUAGUUGGUGAGGUAAGGGCUCACCAAGGCGAUGAUACAUAGCCGACCUGAGAGGGUGAUCGGCCACAUUGGGACUGAGACACGGCCCAAACUCCUACGGGAGGCAGCAGUAGGGAAUCUUCGGCAAUGGACGAAAGUCUGACCGAGCAACGCCGCGUGAGUGAAGAAGGUUUUCGGAUCGUAAAACUCUGUUGGUAGAGAAGAACGUUGGUGAGAGUGGAAAGCUCAUCAAGUGACGGUAACUACCCAGAAAGGGACGGCUAGCUACGUG
RNAcentral lists this ribosomal RNA (497 nucleotides) under uncultured bacterium. RNAcentral's name for it is "partial 16S ribosomal RNA". It matches the Rfam family "Bacterial small subunit ribosomal RNA", at positions 28 to 507 of the family's 1533-position model. The record is from RNAcentral.